Molecule: ribosomal RNA, 484 nt
Filed under: uncultured bacterium
Lineage: Bacteria
Description: partial 16S ribosomal RNA
Rfam family: Bacterial small subunit ribosomal RNA
Source: RNAcentral
AUUGAACGCUGGCGGCAGGCCUAACACAUGCAAGUCGAGCGGAUGAAGGGAGCUUGCUCCUGGAUUCAGCGGCGGACGGGUGAGUAAUGCCUAGGAAUCUGCCUGGUAGUGGGGGAUAACGUCCGGAAACGGGCGCUAAUACCGCAUACGUCCUGAGGGAGAAAGUGGAGGAUCUUCGGACCUCACGCUAUCAGAUGAGCCUAGGUCGGAUUAGCUAGUUGGUGGGGUAAAGGCCUACCAAGGCGACGAUCCGUAACUGAUCUGAGAGGAUGAUCAGUCACACUGGAACUGAGACACGGUCCAGACUCCUACGGGAGGCAGCAGUGGGGAAUAUUGGACAAUGGGCGAAAGCCUGAUCCAGCCAUGCCGCGUGUGUGAAGAAGGUCUUCGGAUUGUAAAGCACUUUAAGUUGGGAGGAAGGGCAGUAAGUUAAUACCUUGCUGUUUUGACGUUACCAACAGAAUAAGCACCGGCUAACUUCGUG